CAGUAGCCGCGGUAAUACGUAGGGUCCGAGCGUUGUCCGGAAUUAUUGGGCGUAAAGAGCUCGUAGGCGGUCUGUCGCGUCUGCCGUGAAAUCCUCAGGCUCAACCUGAGGCGUGCGGUGGGUACGGGCAGGCUAGAGUGCGGUAGGGGAGAAUGGAACUCCUGGUGUAGCGGUGGAAUGCGCAGAUAUCAGGAAGAACACCGAUGGCGAAGGCAGUUCUCUGGGCCGUAACUGACGCUGAGGAGCGAAAGCGUGGGGAGCGAACAGGAUUAGAUACCCCGGUAGUCCCUGUCUCUUAUAC
RNAcentral lists this ribosomal RNA (301 nucleotides) under uncultured bacterium. RNAcentral's name for it is "partial 16S ribosomal RNA". It matches the Rfam family "Bacterial small subunit ribosomal RNA", at positions 509 to 807 of the family's 1533-position model. The record is from RNAcentral.